Molecule: long non-coding RNA, 2943 nt
Organism: Cavia porcellus (domestic guinea pig)
Lineage: Eukaryota; Metazoa; Chordata; Mammalia; Rodentia; Caviidae
Exons: 2
Source: RefSeq, a predicted model, not a curated record
ACCGCAGUGCUGGGGAAGUAGGUAUAAUGUGUCUCAGCAGCUGUUCCUUCUGUGUCUACCGCAUCCUCACUGGUGAAAGCACCCUGGAUCACCGCCUGGGAAGAGGAGUAAGAGAACAGAGUCCAGUGACAGUCAGAGACACAGCCUCUCCUAUGUAAUUCAGGCUGGCCUGGAACUCUUCGUGAUCCUCCUGUCUCAGCUUCUCCCAUGCUCCAGGCAAACACCUCCACCACCAGCCCCACCCAUUCUGAUGUUAAGGAUUGCCCUGUGGGGACUGAUAACUACAGCUGUACAAAUAGUGCUCUUCACCUCUCUUCGGUAACCACUCCAACUUCUCAUGGAGAGGGGAUACUUACACUAGAAGACUGAGAAACAACAUAUUUUUGGAAAGACUGAUACUAGACUACUAUUACCAAAAAAUACAGGGCCCCAGCCAGGGCCUCCUGGUGAGUACAAGACCAUCCUGAAUUACAAUGGUGAGACUCUGUAUCAAAAACAAACAAAAACCCUUGGCUCAUAAACACUAAUGCUUCUUCCAGUUUUUUUCAGACACAAAACAUACAGCAAUGUCUUGCUCUUGGGCCCCAUCUUAGUGACAGGAAUCUUGUUUUGGGAUUUCAGCUUUAGAGCAUCUAUUAGAGACCCUAAAGCCCAAGUGCAUGGCAUUUGGGCCUCCUCUAUUUUAUUCCAGUCGGCCAGUAGAAAUGUAGAGCAACACAGCUGCUAAAAUCUACAGAACUGGCAACACAGUUGCUAAAAUGUUGCCAUGACAACUCCAAGUCAAUCGAACCUCUGCAAGAAAGGAAAAAACACCAGGCUCAGGAUCCUGUCGAAGAAAAGACAAUAGAGGAAGAAUCCAUCUACAAGGUGCCUGCCAUAGGACCCUGACACCCAGCCAGAGGACAAGAAAAACAAAGGGCUGAGCUGACAGAGGCCUCCAGAAUGAUGCACUGUAUAAAAUGGAUACAAUGCACAAUGUAAAACACACAGUUGCUACACUGUACAAAACUAUAACAUCCCGACAGGAAAGAGGCAAGACUUCUGUAAAUUCUCUACCAGUAAGGUCCCUCAAAUCUUUUUAUCCAAGAAAAAUUUUAGCGGUUAAGCCUUGGAAAGCCCGCGUCCAAGAAAAAUAGUGACAACAAUAACAAAAAGGAACUGAAAGUGAAACUAUCUGCGGGAAGUAACGCCGCAAGGAGACUCCCGUCCCUGAGGGGAAGUACUGUAGCGCCAGGGUUAGGGGACCACCUUCAUCUCCAUCCUCAAAGUGUUCUUUGGGGCUGGCUGCGCCGACUGCAGGAGAAGGCAAUGAAAGAGAGGUUGGGCACAGGAGGCAUCACUGUCUCCCACAGCUGUCAGGCAGAGUCUGCCUCCUAGGACACCCCACAACCGGGUCAGGCUACUUAUUCAAAUCUUAGUUGGACAUCCGGAAACAUUUCCUGAGCAUAUGUGACACGGAAAUCAGGCUAGGAUGUUGUGGUUUGCAUGUUCGCGCAAGGAGGGCCCACCUAGAGCCCUUGCUAAAUCUGGACACAAAGAGGGGAAAUCAAGUCCCGAAAGAAUUUAGGGGCCCAGACCUUGCCUCAAAGUGCGGCGUCCCUCUGCAGGCCCGGCACGCAAGAGGAGCCCGGGAAGCUGAGCCCCGGCUGGCGCGAGCCCCGGAACCCGCGACCAGAUCCGGCCCGGCCAGCGGCGCCCGCCGCAAGUCCCAAUUGCUCCACCGAGGCGGCAGUGAAGGACGCUGGGGGCCGGGAGCCCCGCGGCCGGGCAGCGCGUAAGGGCGGGGAUGUGCGCGUCCGGCCCACAAAGCGGGUGGGAGAUAAAGAAAGGGGCACAGCCCCCUGCUCCAAAACAAAGGCUUCGUCCCUAAGAGUUGCCAAACCCCGAAAACAGAAGUAAAAACAAAGCCACCCUGCCGGUCCGCCCGCCCGGUCCUCCCGCCUCUAGAACCCUGCGGGGUCCCGCACUCACAGGACACAGCUACUCCGGCCGCUGAUUUCCCCCGACAGCGUUCUCCCUCUCCCGACCUGGUUAUCUCCAUAGACAACUGCUCAUGCGCACUCCCAGCUCGCGGCCAUGUUUGUGAGGGGCGGAAGUGUCUCCGCCUCCCGCCCUGCCCACUCACAGCCUCCGAGCAGCCCUACUUCCGCUCGUUCCGCGUUGAUGAGGGUUGAAGGAUGCGUAGGUGUGCGGUGUUCGUGUGUCAGGCAUGGGGCUCUGUGGUGCUGAAAAGAAGCUGUAUUCUGGGAGGUGUCCAUUUCUGGCAAGAACGAGAAGAAAAAUGAGUAGUUUGGACUUCAAUCUUUGUGUUAAGCAGGUCCUUUUUAAUUACAAGAAAAGGGAGUGAGGGAAGCCAGUUGAAAUCGAAGGAGGAACUGCCAGCGGUGGCGCCAUCUUUAACAAGGACUACAGUGUUUGGGUGAUCAUUUUGGAUCAGGGCAUCAUUUUGAAGGGUUUCCAGCUAAAAAUGAGGAUGUAUCAGGGCAUACUUUGAUUUGAGCAUAUGCUUUUGUAUUAGUGUCAUCAGAGACCCAGAGCUUCCAAGGUUUCUGAGUCUUGCACUUUCUUUGAGAUGAACCUUGAUUGCCAAUUUGUUAGUGAUUGGUUGGUUUUUUGAGUCAGGGUCUUGUUAUGCAGUUUAAGCUGGGCGGGCCUCAGCCUCCCGGUUUGGUGUGCAUCAGCCUCUCAUAUGCUAGGAUUAUUGGCGUGCACAACCGCUCCCGGUUUUGAUUCUGACUCAAAAUGUACCCCUAAUGGAUUUGGAGUAGUAUAGUAUAAUAGAAACAGUUCAGAUGUUGGGAUUGGAUAAAGCCUAAUCUCAAAUCUUCCUCACACUUCUUAUCUUUCAGAUAUUUGACAUUCAUUUUGACUUAGUUAAACCUUAGUUUCGUCAUCUGUAAAAUGUACAGAAUUGUUACAUGGAUUAAAUGAAGUAAAAGGCAA